Molecule: long non-coding RNA, 515 nt
Filed under: Monodelphis domestica (gray short-tailed opossum)
Lineage: Eukaryota; Metazoa; Chordata; Mammalia; Didelphimorphia; Didelphidae
Description: lncRNA (ENSMODG00000031999.2)
Source: RNAcentral
CAGCUGAAAAGCAUGGUGCCACCAAUCCUUGCACUUCAAGUUCCCGUUUGCCUCAUUGGGAGUCCAGCCAACUUGCUGUCUGUUGUUUAGUGUGGGCGAGGAGAUGGGAGGAAAGAACUGGGUGAUGGGAGGGUAGGAGGACAAAGAGACACUGUGGGGAGUGGAAAUUUCAUUGAAGGGGGCGAAGGAGGGGAGAGUGAGAAACAAGACUCUUGAUGGGGGAAAAAUGCAGCUUCAGAUGAUCAAAAGAUAUACAACAGGAAGGAGGAGGAAGAGAAAAGAAGAACAGCAAUAUGAGAAACCAGGAGAAGAAAACACAGUGACCACAACAAUGUGAAAGAAAACAACAUUCAAAGAUAUAGGCCUCUUGUAUGUAUAUGCAGUGGUUGAUCACAACUUAGAAGAUGGAUCAUAAAUCAGGCUUCUUAUCUUUUGGCAGACAUAGAGUCCCCUGAGACUCAUUCAUCCUAGGGCUUCUCUUUAUACUAUCUCACUUGGUGAGCUCAUUACUUCCU